AAAGCGUGCGCAGGCGGUUUUGUAAGACAGUGGUGAAAUCCCCGGGCUCAACCUGGGAACUGCCAUUGUGACUGCAAAGCUAGAGUGCGGCAGAGGGGGAUGGAAUUCCGCGUGUAGCAGUGAAAUGCGUAGAUAUGCGGAGGAACACCGAUGGCGAAGGCAAUCCCCUGGGCCUGCACUGACGCUCAUGCACGAAAGCGUGGGGAGCAAACAGGAUUAGAUACCCCAGU
RNAcentral lists this ribosomal RNA (230 nucleotides) under uncultured bacterium. Its description in RNAcentral is "partial 16S ribosomal RNA". It matches the Rfam family "Bacterial small subunit ribosomal RNA", at positions 562 to 791 of the family's 1533-position model. The record is from RNAcentral.